UACGUAGGGUGCGAGCGUUGUCCGGAAUUAUUGGGCGUAAAGAGCUUGUAGGCGGUCUGUCGCGUCUGCUGUGAAAAUCCGGGGCUCAACCCCGGACUUGCAGUGGGUACGGGCAGACUAGAGUGUGGUAGGGGAGACUGGAAUUCCUGGUGUAGCGGUGAAAUGCGCAGAUAUCAGGAGGAACACCGGUGGCGAAGGCGCCACUCUGGGCCGAAACUGACGCUGAGGAGCGAAAGCGUGGGUAGCAAACAGG
Molecule: ribosomal RNA, 253 nt
Filed under: uncultured bacterium
Lineage: Bacteria
Description: partial 16S ribosomal RNA
Rfam family: Bacterial small subunit ribosomal RNA
Source: RNAcentral